UAGUCUGUAUUACAGACUAACAGAGUUGGGAAGAUUGAAGACACAAGACAGGAAGGAAGAGCGAAGAGGAACCCUAAAUCGCAAAUCGUCUCCGACUCCAACUCCUCUCGUCUCCGACUCUCCACUCCAGCUCCUCUCCGUCGGUCACAUCUCGUCUCCGACUCUCCACUAUGGCUCUCUUUCCCGCUGAGCUUCUUUUCUGCUCCAAAUCCGUCACUCUCGACUCCGACUCUUGACUCCGGCUCCUCUCUGUCGCUCUCGUCUCCGACUCUCCUUCAAGCUCCCUUUCCCUAGUGAGAUUCUCGUCUGGACUCCACUGCUCACCUAGGCAUAGGAAUUGCUGACCUUUACUGCUCUGUUUUCUCUCGGGGCGGUUCCAGUUGAUAAGGAAAUCCUCGAGCUGCGAUGGAAAAUUUGCUUAACAAGAUCACUGUUGAUAAUGAGUCUGCAUGUGGAGUAUCAUCGACCAAAGUGGGCUCUAAGAAGUCAAGGUCCGAGGUUUGGGAUCAUUUUCAUAAGGGCCAAGAUGAGAAAAAUGGAAAGGAUGUUUCCAUUUGUAAUUACUGCAAUUCACUUCUUGCUUAUUGUGUUGAUUGGGGUACUUCAUCAAUGUGGAAGCAUUUGAAAACUUGCUCAAAAUAUCCCUAAAAUCUUGACAAAAAGCAAAAGUUGAUAUCAUUAUUUUCUCAAUCUGGAGUAGAUGGAGUAAGUGUCAAAUCAAUCACCACUUGAAAAUAUGAUGAAGAAUAUUGUAGGCACAUGUUAGCUCGAAUGGUUAUUGUUGAUGAGCAACCAUUUUCUGUUGUCGAGAAAGAAGGUUUUAGAAGUUUUGUGACAGUAUUGCAGCCUUUGUUUAAGCAUGUUUCAAGGUUUACAGUUGCUAGAGAUUGCAUGAAGCUCUAUGUUUGUGAGAAAAUGAGCCUAAAAGAUAAACUAAAAUCUCUAAAAUCAAGAAUUGCUCUCACUACGGAUAUUUGGACUUCCAUUCAGAAUUCGAGUUACUUGUGUCUCACUGUUCAUUGCACAAGAGAGUUAUUAAUUUUAUUGUUAUACCUAGCCAUAAGGGUAAGGAGAUUGGUAAGAUGGUUGAGAAAUGCAUCAAUGAGUGGGGUAUUAGAGAUUGUAUUUCGUCUAUUACAAUGGAUAAUGCUAGCUCCAAUGAUGUUGCUGUGAAUUAUUUGAAGGAUAAGUGGAAGAAUGUGCUUGUCUUAGAUGGAAAGUAUUUUCAUAUGAGGUGCACAGCUCACAUAUUGAAUUUGAUUGUGAAAGAUAGGUUGACUGAGAUUCAUGAUUCUAUUAAUCGAAUUCGAGCUGCAAUAAAAUAUGUGAGAAGCUCUCCAGCUAGAGCUCAGUUGUUUCAGCGUUGUAUUGUUGAGGAGGGAAUAACUUAUAAGGGCUCUGUUUGCCUUGACAUCUCAACUCGGUAGAAUUCUACUUAUCUAAUGUUGGAAACUACACUUAAGUUUAAACAGGCUUUUAUUAGACUUGAAGAUGAUGAUAGUGCUUUUAUCAGUGAACUUGAUGGUGGAGUUCCAACUAGUGAAGAUUGGGAUAAUGCAUCUAUGAUGUGUUCUUAGGAAACUUCUAUGAAGCUACCAAGAGAAUGUCUGAGAGUCUCUAUGUGACGUUUAAUAGUUAUUUUCUUGAAGUUGUUAGCAUGUUUUCUAUUUUGACUGAGUGUGCGAGAAAUUCCAAUCCCUGUCUUCGAUCUAUGGCUAGAAAAAUGAAGGAGAAAUUUGACAAAUACUAUGGAAGUGUGGAUCGAACAAAUAUGAUGGUAUUGAUAGCUGUGGUGUUGGAUCCUUAGUAUAAAUUGAGGUUUCUAAAGUAUUGUUGUCGGAGAAUUUGUGGUGAUUCUGGUAAAGCAGAGGAGAUGGUUCAGCAUAUAAUGGAUGUCUUGGAGGGUCUUUUUUCAUUCUAUAAGAAUAUUCAUUCUUCUUCAGUGAGUGAAAGUUGUACUUCAACUGCUGAGUCAAUCACUCAUUCACUUCUUGAGUCCAGUAGUUGUGCCAGGAUUGUGAAUCCCAGAAAACUAGUGAAAGGUUGGCGUGAAGAUGAUGAAAAUGUUCAAGAAAUUGGGUCUAAGUCUGAAUUGGAGCAAUAUCUUGAUAGUCCUACCGAGUCGGAAAGUGAUUCAUUUGAUGUAUUGAGGUGGUGGAAUGAUAAGAAAUCAAUCUAUAAGAUAUUAAGUUUUAUGGCAAAAGAUAUCUUAGCCAUUCCGGUGUCCACAGUAACCUCAGAGUCAGCUUUCAGCACAUCUGGUCGGGUUCUUGAUCAAUUUCGUAGAUCUCUCAUUUCAAAAUUUGUUGAAGCUUUGAUUUGCGCACAAGAUUGGUUGCGCUCUUCUCCAACUCCGAUCACUAUUGAGCAAUAGUUGGAGGAUGCGGAAAAGUAUGAAGAAGUUUUCUUUUUAUAGAACUCAACGGCGCCACGACGGAGAUUAUGGUGAAUUAAUGUGUGGAGCAGCUACAAGCAACGGUAGACAAAAUUGGUCAGGGACUUCACAAUUCCCUUCCCUUGCCUAUCAUAUGAGAUCUUUUGAGUUAUCUUUUUCUAAUCCUGUAUUUUUUCUUAAGAUUAAAGUGUGAUUUUUCUGCUUUUGGAUAGAUAAACUUUUUAGUUCAUGUACCGUAUUAGUCCAUGAUGGACGUAUUGUAAGCAAAUAUUACAUUUUAUUGUGUAAGAUCAUAUUAUAGAUAUUUAGUUUUGUGGAUGGAUUAAUGAGACAUUAUUUUUUUAUUGUUGUGGAUUAAUCUAAA
Molecule: non-coding RNA, 2759 nt
Organism: Punica granatum (pomegranate)
Lineage: Eukaryota; Viridiplantae; Streptophyta; Magnoliopsida; Myrtales; Lythraceae
Source: RefSeq, a predicted model, not a curated record